GAUGAAGAACGCAGCGAAAUGCGAUAAGUAAUGUGAAUUGCAGAAUUCAGUGAAUCAUCGAAUCUUUGAACGCACAUUGCGCCCGCCAGUAUUCUGGCGGGCAUGCCUGUUCGAGCGUCAUUUCAACCCUCAAGCCCCCGGGCUUGGUGUUGGGGAUCGGCGUGCCCUCGCGGCGCGCCGUCCCCUAAAUCUAGUGGCGGUCUCGCUGUAGCUUCCUCUGCAUAGUAGCAACACUCGCACUGGAUCGCAGCGCGGCCACGCCGUUAAACCCCCCACUUCUGAAAGUUUGACCUCGGAUCAGGUAGGAAUACCCGCUGAACUUAAGCAUAUCAAUAAGCGGAGGA
RNAcentral lists this unclassified non-coding RNA (344 nucleotides) under soil metagenome. Its description in RNAcentral is "partial contains 5.8S ribosomal RNA, internal transcribed spacer 2, and large subunit ribosomal RNA". The stretch from base 1 to 120 matches the Rfam family "5.8S ribosomal RNA", at positions 35 to 154 of the family's 154-position model. The record is from RNAcentral.